RNAcentral lists this ribosomal RNA (504 nucleotides) under uncultured bacterium. RNAcentral describes it as "partial 16S ribosomal RNA". It matches the Rfam family "Bacterial small subunit ribosomal RNA", at positions 30 to 523 of the family's 1533-position model. The record is from RNAcentral.
AUUGAACGCUGGCGGCAGGCCUAACACAUGCAAGUCGAACGGUAGCACAGAGAGCUUGCUCUCGGGUGACGAGUGGCGGACGGGUGAGUAAUGUCUGGGAAACUGCCCGAUGGAGGGGGAUAACUACUGGAAACGGUAGCUAAUACCGCAUAACGUCGCAAGACCAAAGUGGGGGACCUUCGGGCCUCACACCAUCGGAUGUGCCCAGAUGGGAUUAGCUAGUAGGUGGGGUAAUGGCUCACCUAGGCGACGAUCCCUAGCUGGUCUGAGAGGAGGACCAGCCACACUGGAACUGAGACACGGUCCAGGCUCCUACGGGAGGCAGCAGUGGGGAAUAUUGCACAAUGGGCGCAAGCCUGAUGUAGCCAUGCCGCGUGUAUGAAGAAGGCCUUCGGGUUGUAAAGUACUUUCAGCGGGGAGGAAGGCGGUGAAGUUAAUAACUUCACCGAUUGACGUUACCCGCAGAAGAAGCACCGGCUAACUCCGUGCCAGCAGCCGCAGUAA